CACGGAUCCCUGCUUCUGGGAAACUGGAAACAUGCUUGAAACUUGCGGCUCCCGCCAGCUGCCCUACUAAAGUUGUGUUUUUCUCCCUUUGUUUCUCUUUUCCUCUUCUCAACCUCCUGCUCGCCCCCUUCAAGCGAGAGGCUUCUCCCCUGGCUAGGAACGUUUCCUGCCUGGCAGUCAGAAGAGAGACAGAAACCACGCCGUAGGCAAGGGGGGAGAGGCGAGGUCUGGAAUGGGAGCUCUGGGGAAGGAAGAGGAGAAAAAAACGUGACGCUCUCGUUUAAACAUCCAAAUCAAAAGUUGAGGAAUCGGGUUCGUUGCUGUUUGCUAGUCAACUUACUGUAAACCUGAUUUCCCUUGUGUCCAGGCAGUCCCCUGCCUGAUCACACUGACAGAUACUGUCUCCAGACUGUCUGAAAGCUAGUCCUGAUUGCCAUGGGCUCAGUGGAUGGCAAAUAGAUGUUUGGGUUUCCUGUGACAAGCACUGGGCUGAGAAUCAGGAGACGUGAGUGUUACACCAGCCAGACACUUGAAGAUGGGACUCUGAGCAAGAUGCUAGUUUGUAGACCUGCUUCUGCGCCUGUGGAAGAAAGGAGUCUAUAUCUUGCCAGGUUCUGUUGUAGGUUUCCUAAGAUACAAGAUAUAAAAUGUAAUAAAAUGAGUAAGACUUGA
Non-coding RNA from Cricetulus griseus (Chinese hamster), 672 nucleotides. The record is from RefSeq and is a predicted model, not a curated record. NCBI's taxonomy places the organism in Eukaryota, Metazoa, Chordata, Mammalia, Rodentia, Cricetidae.